RNAcentral lists this long non-coding RNA (1040 nucleotides) under Homo sapiens (human). RNAcentral's name for it is "HSALNT0238644". Lineage: Eukaryota; Metazoa; Chordata; Mammalia; Primates; Hominidae. The record is from RNAcentral.
CUGGAAAGGGAAAAAGCAUCAGUGCAAAAGUAGAUUUCAGGAUUUGGAGCACGGAGGCAAGUGCCCUCUCCUGGCAUCCCCGCAUGGGGCCAUGGUGAGGAGGCUCUGCAGUCUUCCAGGACGACUGGACCAUGGAUAGGAAAUACCCAAGACAUGGAUUCUCUGGGGACAUGGGCGAUUCCAAAAGCACCGAGGAGUGUGCCCCUAGAGAAGCAGUCCAUUGGGUCCAUAGUAAAAUCUCAUAGCAUAACCAACAGUGGAGACCAGAGACUAAAAAUCUGUAACAUCCUUGGAGUCCAUGGACCUCGAAGCCAAACACAACAGCCCCACGAGCAUCUGCCAUCCAGGCAUGGAGAGCUAGGGGUGAGCUUCUUAGAGUAAAGGAGGCUUCUUCCCUGUUCAGAUGUGUGAACGGUUGGGUUUACAGAUAAUGGAGGUGUCUGUGUAUGUUGUCAUGAAAAUAUAAGGCAAGUGGCACCAAAUGUGAUUUAGCGGUCCCAGAAAUUCAGUGCUGCGUGCUUUCUACAUGACAUUAAUUUUAAUUAUAUGUACACAGGAGAAAAUUUAAAAUUGAAAUGUCUUAUCAUUGCUAGAAAAACAGAAGUUUUUUCCCUACGAGUUAGAAAUCUUGAUCUCUGCGUUUUUCUAUGGAUCGAUUCUCAAAGUUUGUGCAAAUACAGUCGGUGUUUCUCUCUAAGUGUCUUUGGUUAUGAACUAAGGAUGUAACCAACUCCUGCUUAUUAGGUAAAGGGAUGAGGCAAGAGAGAUCCAGCAACAGGGUAUGGUUAUUUUUCAGUCUUUGGCAACAUUUUUCUUCGUGAUGUCAAAAGUAGUGAACUCCCUGACUAGGGUUUCAGACAUGGGCUGUUCUAAUCCACCAAACACCAAACGGCUGGGGAAGAAGAGAUUUGGACAUGGAUAACCAGUGUCACCUACAACAUGGAAUGGAGGGUCGUCAAAAUGGUCUGAGUCACUUUAAUAUGUGGCUGGAGAGAUGCGAGAACAACAGAAAGAGCCCUCAGGAGGCAUCCCCACCCAAG